Molecule: ribosomal RNA, 429 nt
Filed under: uncultured Pseudomonas sp.
Lineage: Bacteria; Pseudomonadati; Pseudomonadota; Gammaproteobacteria; Pseudomonadales; Pseudomonadaceae
Description: bacterial SSU rRNA
Rfam family: Bacterial small subunit ribosomal RNA
Source: RNAcentral
AGAGUUUGAUCCUGGCUCAGAUUGAACGCUGGCGGCAGGCCUAACACAUGCAAGUCGAGCGGAUGACAGGAGCUUGCUCCUGAAUUCAGCGGCGGACGGGUGAGUAAUGCCUAGGAAUCUGCCUGGUAGUGGGGGACAACGUUUCGAAAGGAACGCUAAUACCGCAUACGUCCUACGGGAGAAAGCAGGGGACCUUCGGGCCUUGCGCUAUCAGAUGAGCCUAGGUCGGAUUAGCUAGUUGGUGAGGUAAUGGCUCACCAAGGCGACGAUCCGUAACUGGUCUGAGAGGAUGAUCAGUCACACUGGAACUGAGACACGGUCCAGACUCCUACGGGAGGCAGCAGUGGGGAAUAUUGGACAAUGGGCGAAAGCCUGAUCCAGCCAUGCCGCGUGUGUGAAGAAGGUCUUCGGAUUGUAAAGCNCUUUAAG